CCCGUAACUUUGGGAUAAGGGGGACCUGAGCUGUCGUGCACCCGUGCGGUGUGGUGGCGGUGAGGGGCGCAGAGUCCAGGGGGAAACGACUGUUUACCAAAAACACAGGUCCGUGCGAAGUCGUAAGACGAUGUAUACGGACUGACUCCUGCCCGGUGCUGGAAGGUUAAGGGGAACUGUGAGUGCAUGCGUAGCGGUGAACUUAAGCCCCAGUAAACGGCGGUGGUAACUAUAAC
Molecule: ribosomal RNA, 236 nt
Filed under: Lacticaseibacillus paracasei
Lineage: Bacteria; Bacillati; Bacillota; Bacilli; Lactobacillales; Lactobacillaceae
Description: Lactobacillus paracasei partial 23S ribosomal RNA
Rfam family: Bacterial large subunit ribosomal RNA
Source: RNAcentral